This is a non-coding RNA of Salmo salar (Atlantic salmon), 183 nucleotides long. NCBI's taxonomy places the organism in Eukaryota, Metazoa, Chordata, Actinopteri, Salmoniformes, Salmonidae. The record is from RefSeq and is a predicted model, not a curated record.
AUUUGUUUGAGGCUGAACUUGCAGGUGCAAAUAGAGAGGUCAACAUGCUAUUUUCCAAAUACUCUGAAGUGUUGAGGUAGGUACAACAAAGUGAGAGGGCUGCAAUAGAUGCCUCACAAGUUAGGGAGUUGGAAGACAUAUUGAUGGAGGCCAGAAACUUGGCGUCACACCUGAAAGAGAAGA